Molecule: ribosomal RNA, 490 nt
Filed under: uncultured bacterium
Lineage: Bacteria
Description: partial 16S ribosomal RNA
Rfam family: Bacterial small subunit ribosomal RNA
Source: RNAcentral
AUUGAACGCUGGCGGCAGGCCUAACACGUGCAAGUCGAACGGUAACAGGAAGCAGCUUGCUGCUUUGCUGACGAGUGGCGGACGGGUGAGUAAUGUCUGGGAAACUGCCUGAUGGAGGGGGAUAACUACUGGAAACGGUAGCUAAUACCGCAUAACGUCGCAAGACCAAAGAGGGGGACCUUCGGGCCUCUUGCCAUCGGAUGUGCCCAGAUGGGAUUAGCUAGUAGGUGGGGUAACGGCUCACCUAGGCGACGAUCCCUAGCUGGUCUGAGAGGAUGACCAGCCACACUGGAACUGAGACACGGUCCAGACUCCUACGGGAGGCAGCAGUGGGGAAUAUUGCACAAUGGGCGAAAGCCUGAUGCAGCCAUGCCGCGUGUAUGAAGAAGGCCUUCGGGUUGUAAAGUACUUUCAGCGGGGAGGAAGGGAGUAAAGUUAAUACCUUUGCUCAUUGACGUUACCCGCAGAAGAAGCACCGGCUAACUCCGUG